This is a long non-coding RNA of Lathyrus oleraceus (garden pea), 728 nucleotides long. RefSeq lists it as uncharacterized. The transcript is spliced from 2 exons. NCBI's taxonomy places the organism in Eukaryota, Viridiplantae, Streptophyta, Magnoliopsida, Fabales, Fabaceae. The record is from RefSeq and is a predicted model, not a curated record.
UAGGCCCAAACUGAGUCCAAGGCCAAACAAAAAAAAAGACUGGUCCAAGUGAAUCAAACUUCAUCAUCCAAAACAAAAAUUUCUUAUAAAUAAGCUUCCAAAAACGCUUAUGGGAAAAAGAAGAAACACAAACGAAAUUCACCAAGUCGAAAAAUCGCUCAUCAGAAAAAAUUCAGAGCAAAAAAAGGAUUGCAUCUACGGCUUCUCGGAUCCACAUUUGUAGUCGUGUUCUUCACCCUCUAUUCACAUUCAAUUCAAAGCAUCGUGUUCAUUUCGUGGAUCACCAUUCAUCAGUAUCGCGCUUUUGGAUUGACGACAUCGUUGCUCAUCAUGCGCUUGGCUCAUCAUCUUCUUCGUUCGUGAAUUCGCCUUUGCGCACUCUGAUUGAAGCAUCUCAAUCAUUCCAAGAUUUAAAUUGAAUUGAAGAACUCACCAAUUUCGACGCGGCGACGAAAACAGGUCAAAAAAUUUGGUGUAGCUUUGGACCCGUUAUGUAAUGGAUGAAAUAAUUUGGAUAGUUUAAGAACUUCCUAUACAGGAAGUUAAAUGACUGUAAAAAUUAAGGGUUGGGAUUUGGGAUAUGAUUUUGUUAGAAGUUAGGGAUUGUAAAUUACAUUGAUGUAUAUGAUAGAAAAAUUGAUUGUAAAACAAAGGGUUGUGAUUGAAAUUGUGAAUGGGAUUAUGCAUAUUCAAGUUAUAAAAUUGAGUUUGAAUGGAAUGUUAUUAAA